AGAUGACGUCUAUAUUGCAGUCAGUGGUUUGUGCGGUUUGGUAAUCGUGAAUAUAAUGUACCUUGGUUUAUCCAAAACCGAGAAAUUCUGUGUUAUAUUGCAUUUUGAUUUGUUGACAGUAAUAGAUAUUUAUAACAUUCUGAAAGGUUCGAAAAAAAGCUGAGCCACCGUAAUAUCCAUACUAUACAGUUAUGUUUUGGCUGAUAUACCUCGUUGCCUUGUUGCAGACUUUGCAGGCAGAGGCCGCUCUCAUCGACCCGACAGCGCUAUCUGUGACCGGAAUCCGUCCUGACGACCCGCCCAUCGUCCAGCGACUGGAAACCAGAGGCGGACCAGAACCGCAGAGUGUUCCCUUUCCGACACUUCCUGCUUACACCGCGGCGAAAAAAGUCGAGAAAAAACCUCACAUAGGCAUCCGGUUCAAAAGAUGGGCCAGAAAAAAUGAAGCUGCUCUGCACCUCAUGUGUUGCUGCUGCCUCGCACAUUGCGGUGACAAAGAUGAUUGACGUUAUUAAUGAUGACCACGAUUAUAUGGAGCGCGUUUAGCAGAAAUGAACCAAGCCACAUCAGCAAUGGACCACUAGACAAGGUACGAAUUUCAGCAUUCUGAUACAUGUUUCUUAACCAAAAUUUCACGUAGAACACGAUGUGCAGAUUGAAAUUACCGAAAUUAACUCCUUACGAAGAUAUUUAAUGAUUCUUGAUGCGUGAAUUCAAACCACCCGCUCAUGAAAACUCAAUGCUCUACGUGAUUCACAUCGCGCGCUGAACGUUAUCAUGACAGUCUCUACGAUAUACAAAUCUGGCAACCUCAAUCUUGACGCUUUGGCUCAGCUCUAGCAAAUUGCUGAUAGUUUGAACAACGCAUGGUGGGAAAUGAACAUUGCUCGAUGAACAAGCUUGCUGAAACCGUUGUUGUGCGCGAUUUGACUCACGUAGAGCUUUGAGUUUCUUGUGAGCGGGCAGUUCAAAUUCCUCGUAACCAAUGUGUAAUAAAAACGUUAAUAUCUUCGUUAAAAGGUUGGUUUCAGUAAUUUUGGUCGUAAGAAACGUGUUCUACGUGAAAUUAAGGUGAAGAAAUAUGUAUCAGAUUGCUUAAAUUCGUACCUUGUCUAGUGGUCCAUUGCCAAAUUUAACCGGGCAAUACGAUUUUUUACAAGAUAACGUUUGUGCGGAAACCUUUGGAAAUGUUAAGGCAUUUGCUUUGUACAAUGUAGACUAAUCACAGGAAGCACUAAAAUCCGCAACCCAUUUUCGUGUAAAAACCCGAAUUGCCCACAUAAACUUGGCAAUUGCUGAUGUGGCUUGGUCCCUUUCUGCUAAACGCGGUUCAUUUAAUAAUCGAUGCUACAAGGGUACGUACACAAUAAACAGAAAGGCACCAAGCCACAUCAGCUUUUGCCAAAUUUAACCGGGCAAUUUAAUUUUUUCAAAGAGAACGUUUGUGCGGAUUCCUUUGAAAAUAAGGAAUUUGCUGCGAUGCAGAUAAUUCACUGAAAUUUGCACGAAAAUAUGCAAACACGUUUACAUGUAAAAACCACUAUAUCCUAAUCAAAUUUGUAUGGCUUGGUUCUUUUCUGCUUAAAGCGGUCCAUAUUCACCCGAAAAUCUAAGUUACCUCGUAUUUUGCCGUGAUGGCGAAGAGAGCCGUAAGUCACACAUUUCGACAGUGAAAUACCAAGCCACGUAUCUCGUUUGCGGUUUUUCAAGAACUCCGGUAUCGUUUUAUUUUUUUGACGACGAACGAUUCGAUAUCAUUCUUUGAUGUUUUCACAGAGUUUUUUUCAGACAGAGAAAUGAUGAUAUGAAAUUUUCUUCAAAAUUCAGAAAAAUUCGUCUAAUUUGUAUUAAAAUGAAACGUGUGAAAAACCACAAGUGUGCGAAAAAUGACGUGGUUUCAGACAAAACACCAACAAAGCCUAUUAUUCCUCCAGAGAGCCAAUGAAAACGGUGCUUUCAAGUAAAAUUCCGCCCUUUUCUGCCAAUUUCUAACCUAAGAAUGUGUUUGUUGUGUGUCCAAAAUGCAACCACGAAAGUAUGCCGAAGAUGGCACAGACGGCUGCCUUGUCCAAUACUAGCCUAACAUGAAAAUAAAUAAUACCCUUUUUAUAUAAUUGACGAAAAAUUGGUUGACUUUUAGUGCCACCUAAGUGCCGAUUGUUUAUGUAUAAGUAAUUUAGUUUUAAGCAUUUGUAGCUUUUUCCGUUUUGAACUGUGCUCACGAUAAGAAGUGCUUAUUCGCAAUUUUACAGCUAAGUAUGACAAUAAACGGUACAUUUUUUCUUCCAUAUUUUGUACUUUAGCACUUAAAAAUUAUUUAUCCCUCGUAAGGUACUAGACUUAGACUGCUGAUUUUUACUCGAAAUUUGCGAAAAAGUGCAUUUUUAUGGUACUAUGACGAGGAUCUUCACAAACUUCCCUCGAUCAAACUGUAAACCAAGCAGGUCCAAAAUCCUAGAAUUCCUCAACCCUAA
This 2474-nucleotide long non-coding RNA is filed under the name Bemisia tabaci. Its description in RNAcentral is "lncRNA ENSSSA3NGG000619". The record is from RNAcentral. Lineage: Eukaryota; Metazoa; Arthropoda; Insecta; Hemiptera; Aleyrodidae.